This 497-nucleotide ribosomal RNA is filed under the name uncultured bacterium. RNAcentral's name for it is "partial 16S ribosomal RNA". It matches the Rfam family "Bacterial small subunit ribosomal RNA", at positions 28 to 507 of the family's 1533-position model. The record is from RNAcentral.
GAUGAACGCUGGCGGCGUGCCUAAUACAUGCAAGUCGAGCGAACAUACCGGGAGCUUGCUCCUCUGACGUUAGCGGCGGACGGUUGAGUAACCCGUUGAUACCCUACCUAUGAGACUGGGAUAACUUAGGGAAACCGGCGCUAAUACCGGAUAAUAUAUUGAACCGCAUGGUUCAAUCGUAAAAGACGGUUUUGCUGUCACUUAUUGAUGGAUCCGCGCCGCAUUAGCUAGUUGGUAAGGUAACGGCUUACCAAGGCGACGAUGCGUAGCCGACCUGAAAGGGUGAUCGGCCACACUGGAACGGAGACACGGUCCAGAGUCCUACGGGAGGCAGCAGUAGGGAAUCUGCCGGAAUGGGCGAAAGCCUGACGGAGCAACGCCGCGUGAGGGAUGAAGGUCUUCGGAUCGUAGAACUCGGUUAUUAGGGAAGAACAAAUGUGUAAGUAACGAUGCACGUCUUGACGGUACCUAAGCAGAAAGCCACGGCUAACUACGUG